RNAcentral lists this ribosomal RNA (303 nucleotides) under uncultured bacterium. Its description in RNAcentral is "partial 16S ribosomal RNA". It matches the Rfam family "Bacterial small subunit ribosomal RNA", at positions 507 to 808 of the family's 1533-position model. The record is from RNAcentral.
AGCAGUCGCCGCGGGAAUACGGAGGGUGCAAGCGUUAAUCGGAAUUACUGGGCGUAAAGCGCACGCAGGCGGUCUGUCAAGUCAGAUGUGAAAUCCCCGGGCUUAACCUGGGAACUGCAUUUGAAACUGGCAGGCUAGAGUCUUGUAGAGGGGGGUAGAAUUCCAGGUGUAGCGGUGAAAUGCGUAGAGAUCUGGAGGAAUACCGGUGGCGAAGGCGGCCCCCUGGACAAAGACUGACGCUCAGGUGCGAAAGCGUGGGGAGCAAACAGGAUUAGAUACCCCCUGUAGUCCCUGUCUCUUAUA